RNAcentral lists this microRNA precursor (206 nucleotides) under Oryza glumipatula. RNAcentral's name for it is "MIR812 microRNA precursor family". It matches the Rfam family "MIR812 microRNA precursor family". The record is from Rfam by way of RNAcentral. Lineage: Eukaryota; Viridiplantae; Streptophyta; Magnoliopsida; Poales; Poaceae.
UCCAAAAACAAACCCUGGUUUCCGUGUCCAACGUUUGACCGUCCGUCUUAUUUGAAAAAAAUAUGAAAAAAAUUAAAAAAAUAAAUCACGCAUAAAGUAUUAAUCAUGUUUUAUCAUCUAACAACAAUGAAAAUACUUAUUAUAACAAAAUUUCAUAUAAGACGAACAGUCAAACGUUGGCACGGAAACCCAGGUUUUACCUUUUU